This 498-nucleotide ribosomal RNA is filed under the name Tardigrada environmental sample. RNAcentral's name for it is "SSU rRNA". It matches the Rfam family "Eukaryotic small subunit ribosomal RNA", at positions 30 to 536 of the family's 1831-position model. Lineage: Eukaryota; Metazoa; Tardigrada. The record is from RNAcentral.
GCUUGUCUCAAAGAUUAAGCCAUGCAUGUCUAAGUAUGAAUGUUAUACAGUGAAACUGCGAAUGGCUCAUUAAAACAGUUAUUGUUUAUUUGAUAAUCAAAUUUACAUGGAUAACCGUGGUAAUUCUAGAGCUAAUACAUGCUGAUAUGCCUGACUCUUAGGAAGGGCUGUAUUUAUUAGAUAACAAACCAAUAUUCCUCGUGUCUAUUGUGAUGACUCAUAAUAACUGAUCGAAUCGCAUGGACUUUGUCCGCGAUACAUCAUUCAAGUUUCUGCCCCAUCAGCUUUCGAUGGUAGUGUAUUGGACUACCAUGGCUUUAACGGGUAACGGAGGAUUAGGGUUCGAUUCCGGAGAGGGAGCCUGAGAAACGGCUACCACAUCUAAGGAAGGCAGCAGGCGCGUAAAUUACCCAAUCCUAAUUCAGGGAGGUAGUGACAAGAAAUAACGGACUGAGGCCUACGCUUCAGGAUUGCAAUGAGUAGAAUUAAACCCCUUGC